AACGAGGCCGACCUGCGGCUGAGUUACCUGCGGAGGGAUCAUUACCGAGUGCGGGUCCUCCGGGGCCCAACCUCCCACCCGUGUGUACCGUACCCUGUUGCUUCGGCGGGCCCGCCGCAAGGCCGCCGGGGGGCGUGUCCUGCCCCCGGGCCCGCGCCCGCCGGAGGCCCUUCGAACGCUGAGCUUUUGAAGGCGUGCCGUCUGAGUCGCGUGAGAAAUCGUGAAAACUUUCAGCAAUGG
Molecule: unclassified non-coding RNA, 240 nt
Filed under: soil metagenome
Description: partial contains 5.8S ribosomal RNA, internal transcribed spacer 2, and large subunit ribosomal RNA
Source: RNAcentral